Molecule: ribosomal RNA, 908 nt
Filed under: Soehngenia sp. enrichment culture clone B31136
Lineage: Bacteria; Bacillati; Bacillota; Tissierellia; Tissierellales; Tissierellaceae
Description: bacterial SSU rRNA
Rfam family: Bacterial small subunit ribosomal RNA
Source: RNAcentral
AGAGUUUGAUCAUGGCUCAGGACGAACGCUGGCGGCGUGCCUAACACAUGCAAGUCGAGCGAAGUGACUCGGAGAGAAGUUUUCGGAUGGAUCGAAGAGUCAUCUUAGCGGCGGACGGGUGAGUAACGCGUGAGAAACCUGCCUUUCACAAAGGGAUAGCCUCGGGAAACUGGGAUUAAUACCUUAUGAAACUGAAUUACCGCAUGGUAGAUCAGUCAAAGCGAAUAAGCGGUGAAAGAUGGUCUCGCGUCCUAUUAGCUAGUUGGUGAGGUAACGGCUCACCAAGGCUUCGAUAGGUAGCCGGCCUGAGAGGGUGAACGGCCACACUGGAACUGAGACACGGUCCAGACUCCUACGGGAGGCAGCAGUGGGGAGUAUUGCACAAUGGAGGAAACUCUGAUGCAGCGACGCCGCGUGAAUGAUGAAGGCCUUCGGGUUGUAAAGUUCUGUCCUUGGGGAAGAUAAUGACGGUACCCAAGGAGGAAGCCCCGGCUAACUACGUGCCAGCAGCCGCGGUAAUACGUAGGGGGCGAGCGUUGUCCGGAAUUAUUGGGCGUAAAGGGUUCGCAGGCGGUCUGAUAAGUCAGAUGUGAAAGGCGUAGGCUCAACCUACGUAAGCAUUUGAAACUGUCAGACUUGAGUUAAGGAGAGGAAAGUGGAAUUCCUAGUGUAGCGGUGAAAUGCGUAGAUAUUAGGAGGAAUACCAGUGGCGAAGGCGACUUUCUGGACUUAUACUGACGCUGAGGAACGAAAGCGUGGGGAGCAAACAGGAUUAGAUACCCUGGUAGUCCACGCCGUAAACGAUGAGUGCUAGGUGUUGGGGGUCAAACCUCGGUGCCGCAGCUAACGCAUUAAGCACUCCGCCUGGGGAGUACGUACGCAAGUAUGAAACUCAAAUGAAUUGACGG